GUGUGGAGUUUUGAGGGUAGAGUAUAAAAAAAUAAAUAUUUAAAAUUUUAAAAUAAAAAGAGCUAUUUUGAUCAUUUUUUAGACAUUAUUUUGGUGACAAAAAUUUAAAAUGACUAUUUAAGAGAAUUGCCCAUAUGAAAAUAUAUUGAUUUCAAAAUUUGUAUUGAAAAAUUAUUGAGAUCUUAAUAUUAGAUGAUAACUUGUGGAGAGUCAAUAAUAAACAAAUCGAGAGCAGAAAUCAUAAUCUUAUUUUAUCAUUUUACAAUCGAUGUUUCCCAUCUUGUUUUGAUGAUUUGUGUCAGCCACAAAACUUAAU
Molecule: long non-coding RNA, 316 nt
Filed under: Brassica napus (rape)
Lineage: Eukaryota; Viridiplantae; Streptophyta; Magnoliopsida; Brassicales; Brassicaceae
Description: long non-coding RNA (BNAP_LNC004088)
Source: RNAcentral